Molecule: ribosomal RNA, 429 nt
Filed under: Chloroflexota bacterium
Lineage: Bacteria; Bacillati; Chloroflexota
Description: Chloroflexi bacterium partial 16S ribosomal RNA
Rfam family: Bacterial small subunit ribosomal RNA
Source: RNAcentral
UGGGGAAUAUUGCACAAUGGGCGCAAGCCUGAUGCAGCCAUGCCGCGUGUAUGAAGAAGGCCUUCGGGUUGUAAAGUACUUUCAGUCGGGAGGAAGGUGUCAAGGUUAAUAACCUUGGCAAUUGACGUUACCGACAGAAGAAGCACCGGCUAACUCCGUGCCAGCAGCCGCGGUAAUACGGAGGGUGCAAGCGUUAAUCGGAAUUACUGGGCGUAAAGCGCACGCAGGCGGUUGAUUGAGUCAGAUGUGAAAUCCCCGGGCUUAACCCGGGAAUUGCAUCUGGUACUGGUCAGCUAGAGUCUUGUAGAGGGGGGUAGAAUUCCAUGUGUAGCGGUGAAAUGCGUAGAGAUGUGGAGGAAUACCGGUGGCGAAGGCGGCCCCCUGGACAAAGACUGACGCUCAGGUGCGAAAGCGUGGGGAGCAAACAGG